Molecule: ribosomal RNA, 573 nt
Filed under: uncultured bacterium
Lineage: Bacteria
Description: bacterial SSU rRNA
Rfam family: Bacterial small subunit ribosomal RNA
Source: RNAcentral
AUGGAUGGAAAUCUGAUCCAGCCAUGCCGCGUGAAGGAAGAAUGUCCUAUGGAUUGUAAACUUCUUUUGUAUUGGGAGCAAUAAGGUCUUCGUGAAGACUGAUGAGAGUACCAUACGAAUAAGCAUCGGCUAACUCCGUGCCAGCAGCCGCGGUAAUACGGAGGAUGCGAGCGUUAUCCGGAUUUAUUGGGUUUAAAGGGUGCGUAGGCUGUUAUAUAAGUCAGUGGUGAAAUAUUCGGGCUCAACCGGGAUACUGCCAUUGAUACUGUAUAGCUGGAAUAUGGUUGCUGUGAGUGGAAUGUGUGGUGUAGCGGUGAAAUGCAUAGAGAUCACACAGAAUAUCGAUUGCGAAGGCAACUCACAAAGCCAUUAUUGACGCUGAUGCACGAAAGUGUGGGGAUCAAACAGGAUUAGAUACCCUGGUAGUCCACACUGUAAACGAUGAUAACUAGCUGUCGGCGAUACACAGUCGGUGGCCAAGCGAAAGCGAUAAGUUAUCCACCUGGGGAGUACGACCGCAAGGUUGAAACUCAAAGGAAUUGACGGGGGCCCGCACAAGCGGAGGAACAUGUU